Mesocricetus auratus (golden hamster) is the source of this 79-nucleotide small nucleolar RNA. Its record names the gene SNORD115. It matches the Rfam family "Small nucleolar RNA SNORD115". From Rfam's summary of the family: HBII-52 is a member of the C/D class of snoRNAs, which contain the C (UGAUGA) and D (CUGA) box motifs. HBII-52 is encoded in a tandemly repeated array with another C/D snoRNA, HBII-85, in the Prader-Willi syndrome (PWS) region of chromosome 15. NCBI's taxonomy places the organism in Eukaryota, Metazoa, Chordata, Mammalia, Rodentia, Cricetidae. The record is from Ensembl.
GGGUCUAUGUUGAGAAACCUAUGUCCUGAAGAGAGGUGAUGACAUGAAAAUCAUGCUCAGGUUCCAGCUGCUGAGGCCC